RNAcentral lists this ribosomal RNA (1065 nucleotides) under Pediococcus pentosaceus. RNAcentral's name for it is "bacterial SSU rRNA". It matches the Rfam family "Bacterial small subunit ribosomal RNA", at positions 345 to 1403 of the family's 1533-position model. The record is from RNAcentral. Lineage: Bacteria; Bacillati; Bacillota; Bacilli; Lactobacillales; Lactobacillaceae.
GCGGCAGCAGUAGGGAAUCUUCCACAAUGGACGCAAGUCUGAUGGAGCAACGCCGCGUGAGUGAAGAAGGGUUUCGGCUCGUAAAGCUCUGUUGUUAAAGAAGAACGUGGGUAAGAGUAACUGUUUACCCAGUGACGGUAUUUAACCAGAAAGCCACGGCUAACUACGUGCCAGCAGCCGCGGUAAUACGUAGGUGGCAAGCGUUAUCCGGAUUUAUUGGGCGUAAAGCGAGCGCAGGCGGUCUUUUAAGUCUAAUGUGAAAGCCUUCGGCUCAACCGAAGAAGUGCAUUGGAAACUGGGAGACUUGAGUGCAGAAGAGGACAGUGGAACUCCAUGUGUAGCGGUGAAAUGCGUAGAUAUAUGGAAGAACACCAGUGGCGAAGGCGGCUGUCUGGUCUGCAACUGACGCUGAGGCUCGAAAGCAUGGGUAGCGAACAGGAUUAGAUACCCUGGUAGUCCAUGCCGUAAACGAUGAUUACUAAGUGUUGGAGGGUUUCCGCCCUUCAGUGCUGCAGCUAACGCAUUAAGUAAUCCGCCUGGGGAGUACGACCGCAAGGUUGAAACUCAAAAGAAUUGACGGGGGCCCGCACAAGCGGUGGAGCAUGUGGUUUAAUUCGAAGCUACGCGAAGAACCUUACCAGCUCUUGACAUCUUCUGACAGUCUAAGAGAUUAGAGGUUCCCUUCGGGGACAGAAUGACAGGUGGUGCAUGGUUGUCGUCAGCUCGUGUCGUGAGAUGUUGGGUUAAGUCCCGCAACGAGCGCAACCCUUAUUACUAGUUGCCAGCAUUAAGUUGGGCACUCUAGUGAGACUGCCGGUGACAAACCGGAGGAAGGUGGGGACGACGUCAAAUCAUCAUGCCCCUUAUGACCUGGGCUACACACGUGCUACAAUGGAUGGUACAACGAGUCGCGAGACCGCGAGGUUAAGCUAAUCUCUUAAAACCAUUCUCAAUUCGGACUGUAGGCUGCAACUCGCCUACACCAAAUCGGAAUCGCUAGUAAUCCCGGAUCAGCAUGCCGCUGUGAAUAUGUUCCCGGGCCUUGUACACACCGCCCGUCACACC